Molecule: long non-coding RNA, 286 nt
Organism: Cucurbita maxima (winter squash)
Lineage: Eukaryota; Viridiplantae; Streptophyta; Magnoliopsida; Cucurbitales; Cucurbitaceae
Exons: 2
Source: RefSeq, a predicted model, not a curated record
CCUAGUUGCUUGGAAGAAAUGGACAAGAAUCAUGAACUUUAUGGAGAGAAGAAGAAUUGCACCGUCCAAACCUAGUUGGAUGGUCCAAAGGCGUCUUCAAAAGAAUAAAACUAACUUAUUACACGGAAUCUUACGAGCAGUGCUGAGAAAAAGAACGUGAACCCACUGGGCGCUCGUGAUGUGGCACAGGGAUUCGCCUCUUCCUGCUCAUUAGUUUUGGUAUAAUUUCAAGACAUUUUAUUCAUUUCUUUAUUAUUAACAGCUGCAGAGUUAUUGGUUUGGCCUA